This is an RNA transcript of Sapajus apella (tufted capuchin), 1053 nucleotides long. RefSeq lists it as uncharacterized. The record is from RefSeq and is a predicted model, not a curated record. Lineage: Eukaryota; Metazoa; Chordata; Mammalia; Primates; Cebidae. The transcript has a single exon.
UGAGAUGGGCCUUAGCCUGUGCCGCUGCUUUCAACCUUGUCUCUGCACAACAGCCUUCUGUCUGUUUCUGGCUCUGCCCUAGGCCCUGAACUCUCAUCCAGCUUGUACCUGUCUGCUUGUACCUGGCCCCUCCACCUGGAGGCCAGCCCUCGUCUCAGCCUCAGCCUUACCCUCCUCUCCUCAAACACGAAGUGUUUCCUCUUAGGUUUCCCUGGCUUUGUGAAUGGAUCACGUGUCUCUAGGUAUAAACCUGUUGUCAUCUUUCUGCCCGCCUCACCUCCGACAGAUCUCCCCAGUACUGUCUCCAUCUUCCACCUGCAGCUACUCCGUUCUCAUUGUCACUGCCACAUCACUCAAGUCCAGACCCUUGUCAUCAUUUUCAAACCAGCCUCCUUCCCUUGUCCCCGCCUUCUUAAAGCCACCUGUCCAUUGCCACCAGAUUAAGCUUUCUCCAGCCAGAUCACCUCUCUUUGAGAAAUCUCCAUUGAAAUGGAAACACCUUCGCCUGGCACACAUACUCACCUCUUUAUCCCCACGUAUCUUUCCCCCUCCCCCUCCCCCUCCCCCUCCCCCUCCCCUCCCCUCCUUCCCCUUCUAAAUUCAGCCCAGUGGGGCUUCUCCUGCCUCCAUCACAUCACAGAAGUACCUCCUGCUUCUGGUUUCAAUUAGAGCCUUCCUGGAUUGCCUUUUCCUCUGAACUUUUUCCUAUCUACAAUUUGAUCUAUUGUUUUUAAACCCCUUACUUCUGAGGUACCUUCUCUAAUCUCUUAUUCUCAUCCCCAAAUAGUGUUUUCUUCCUCUGGGUUCUUGUAAUGUUAACAAUCUCACAGCAUUUAGUGCUUUUUGGCUGGUGUGACUUUUACUUGUGUGCAUGUGCAAUUUCUAAUUUCCCACGCUAGACUGUGAGCUUCCUAAGGCAAGAAUCAUGCCGUGUUUGUUUGUGUAUUCCUCAUGGCGCCAAACAGUGCCUUGUACAUUGAAGGCGCUAAAUAAACAUUUUUAAAGCAAAGUGAUGUGGAUUUUUAAAAUAAAUAUUUAAGUGCUGUAAGAUGA